AUUGAACGCUGGCGGCAUGCCUUACACAUGCAAGUCGGACGGUAACAGGUCUUCGGAUGCUGACGAGUGGCGAACGGGUGAGUAAUACAUCGGAACGUGCCUAGUAGUGGGGGAUAACUACUUGAAAGAGUGGCUAAUACCGCAUGAGAUCUACGGAUGAAAGCAGGGGAUCGCAAGACCUUGUGCUACUAGAGCGGCCGAUGGCAGAUUAGGGAGUUGGUGGGAUAAAAGCGUACCAAGCCGACGAUCUGUAGCUGGUCUGAGAGGACGAUCAGCCACACUGGGCCGGAGACACGGCCCAGACUCCUACGGGAGGCAGCAGUGGGGAAUUUGGGACAAUGGGCGCAAGCCUGAUCCAGCAAUGCCGCGUGCAGGAUGAAGGCCUUCGGGUUGUAAACUGCUUUUGUACGGAACGAAAAGCCCCGGGUUAAUACCCUGGGGUCAUGACGGUACCGUAAGAAUAAGCACCGGCUAACUACGUGCCAGCCGCCGCCGUAA
RNAcentral lists this ribosomal RNA (498 nucleotides) under uncultured bacterium. RNAcentral describes it as "partial 16S ribosomal RNA". It matches the Rfam family "Bacterial small subunit ribosomal RNA", at positions 30 to 523 of the family's 1533-position model. The record is from RNAcentral.